UGGGGAAUAUUGGACAAUGGGGGGAACCCUGAUCCAGCCAUGCCGCGUGUGUGAAGAAGGCCUUAUGGUUGUAAAGCACUUUAAGCGAGGAGGAGGGUACUGGUAUUAAUACUACCAGGUACUGGACGUUACUCGCAGAAUAAGCACCGGCUAACUCUGUGCCAGCAGCCGCGGUAAUACAGAGGGUGCGAGCGUUAAUCGGAUUUACUGGGCGUAAAGCGUGCGUAGGCGGCUAAUUGAGUCGGAUGUGAAAUCCCCGAGCUUAACUUGGGAAUUGCAUUCGAUACUGGUUAGCUAGAGUGUGGGAGAGGAUGGUAGAAUUCCAGGUGUAGCGGUGAAAUGCGUAGAAAUCUGGAGGAAUACCGAUGGCGAAGGCAGCCAUCUGGCCUAACACUGACGCUGAGGUACGAAAGCAUGGGGAGCAAACAGG
Molecule: ribosomal RNA, 430 nt
Filed under: Pseudomonadota bacterium
Lineage: Bacteria; Pseudomonadati; Pseudomonadota
Description: Proteobacteria bacterium partial 16S ribosomal RNA
Rfam family: Bacterial small subunit ribosomal RNA
Source: RNAcentral